GAUGAACGCUGGCGGCGUGCCUAAUACAUGCAAGUAGAACGCUGAAGCUUGGUGCUUGCACUUCUCGUGUUAGUUGCGGACGGGUGAGUAACGCGUGGGUAACCUGCCUCUUAGCGGGGGAUAACUAUUGGAAACCGUAGCUAAUACCGCAUAAUAUUUGAUAUCGCAUGGUUUUGAUUUGAAAGGUGGUAUUGCUUUACUUAAUAGUGGGCUUGCGUUGUCUUAGCUUAUUUGUGAAGUAAAGGCUCAACAAAGCGACGAUACAUAAGCGAACUUGAAGGGGGGUUGGGCAAAAUGGGAAUGGAACAAGGCCCAGAAUUCUACGGGAAGGAGCAGUAGGGAAUUCUCGGCAAUGGGGGCAACGCUGAACGAGGAACGCCGCGGGAGUGAAGAAGGGUCUCGGAUCGGAAAGAUCUGUUGUAAGAGGAGAACGAGUGGGAGAGGGGAAAGUGCACACUGUGACGGUAACUUACCAGAAAGGGACGGCUAACUACGUG
RNAcentral lists this ribosomal RNA (497 nucleotides) under uncultured bacterium. RNAcentral describes it as "partial 16S ribosomal RNA". It matches the Rfam family "Bacterial small subunit ribosomal RNA", at positions 28 to 507 of the family's 1533-position model. The record is from RNAcentral.